Molecule: small nuclear RNA, 53 nt
Organism: Hucho hucho (huchen)
Lineage: Eukaryota; Metazoa; Chordata; Actinopteri; Salmoniformes; Salmonidae
Gene: U7
Rfam family: U7 small nuclear RNA
About the family: Animal histone pre-mRNAs are spliced by a different mechanism than nuclear pre-mRNAs and self-splicing introns. This processing involves the U7 snRNP, which contains only one RNA species: U7.
Source: Ensembl
AAAUGUCUUAUUUUAGUAUUUGUCCAGUAGGUUUCCUCAAGGGGAAAGCCCCC